AUGGCGACGGACUUCCCCAUGACUCCAGUGGACAGGUUGCCUAUUUUUGCUCAUGAGGCCUGCGGCGCUGUCAUUUUAGUGAAAAUGGUACAGGGUGGGGAUGGUAUGCCCAAAGUUCAUUCAUUGGGCGGAUCCAGAUUGGGGGUGGUUGAAGCAGGGGUCAGUGCCGGAGCCGGGUUCAGUGGUACUGGGUACGGCGACCAAAUAAGUGUUGAUGGUGGAGGUGGGGCAGUGUCGGAUUUCAAUGAGAGUGAGGGAGAUAACGCUGAUGCGUUUGAGCAAGGAGGUACACGAGUAGAGUAG
RNAcentral lists this ribosomal RNA (303 nucleotides) under Triticum aestivum (bread wheat). RNAcentral's name for it is "partial small subunit ribosomal RNA". Lineage: Eukaryota; Viridiplantae; Streptophyta; Magnoliopsida; Poales; Poaceae. The record is from RNAcentral.